This 73-nucleotide transfer RNA is filed under the name Myersiohyla chamaeleo. RNAcentral's name for it is "Myersiohyla sp. JF-2013a tRNA-Leu". It matches the Rfam family "tRNA". Rfam says of the family: Transfer RNA (tRNA) molecules are approximately 80 nucleotides in length. Lineage: Eukaryota; Metazoa; Chordata; Amphibia; Anura; Hylidae. The record is from RNAcentral.
GUCAACGUAGCAAAACCCGGCCUUGCAAAAGAUCUAAGCCCUUUGGAUAGAGGUUCAAAUCCUCUCGUUCACC